ACGGAACAAAAAUGACUGGACUAAAACAGGGAAUUCUGCCUGGAGACACCUUCAGACUGUAACUGCAACAUUGGCUCGUCCACAGGUCUUUCACGUGUUCUGCAAAAUUUGGAGUUGCCAGCCUCCGCAUAUUCGUGUUGUGACGGCUGGACCACCACAAGUGGCGCCCGAACGUGGGGCCUGAGUAUCGAGGGAUUCAGUGAAGGACACCGCAGAGAGAACGAGGCCUCAACGAAAAGAUGGCAUCUCUUCCAUAACUGCUCUUGCUGUUGGGAGAAGAUCACCCACAAACCCGCAAGGUUGAGAUUGUGUGAAAUCUGGAGUCACACACGCCUCAAAAUGCCAGACAUCACUUGUUUAUCAAGAUUGCAAAAUUGUUCUUUUCCAUGAGGCUUCAAUGAUAAAAGCAGGCUUCAAGCCACGAAAAUGGCUGAUCUCUAACUCCUGGCUCAAGCGAUCCUCCCGGUGCAGUAACCUCCUCUACAGGCACGUGCCACCAUGUAAACAUUGUUGAAGGCUGUUGCAAGAACCCGAACACCGUGCUUUUAGGAAGUGACACUGACAAUAAACGACUGAGUGGGGCUGUGUGACAGACAUUUUAAUAACAACCAAGAAUUGACGGCAGACUGGAUAAGGAGAGAAAGUAUUUUUCCAGUGAAAAUUUGAUACCAAUGAAAAAAUGAAGAAAGAGAGCAACUGUUUAGAUUUCCUGUUCAAGAAAGUUGGCUGAAGAGAGAGAAGUGGUCGGGGAGCAGGAAUGCAGACAUGGUGUGUGCGUGUGUGUGUCUGUUUGGAGGAGUUUGAUUCUUUACCAACCAAAGUCUCAGUGAGGGCGAGUUCCAAACUACCAGGGAGAAUGGCGUGGAGGAAAAGAAACUCCAGGGUCUUGAACCAAGAUUCCAAAGCAAAAGGGCGGGAAAGGAGAAGGGGCUUUGCAGAUUAGGCCUUUGUAGAGAUGAUGUCCCGUACGGGAGGUGAGAAAGUGGACUAUUGUAGCCUCUGGUCAGACUGAGGAGGCUGCUCACAGGUGGCCAUUCAUUUCGGAGAAAAUGGAACCACUAAGAGCCUGGAUGAUUCUGAAAAAUGUCAAAGCUUAAGCAUAAUCAUUUGAAACUUAAGUUUUGUUAAUAUUUCCUGCUCAUCAUCAGCUUUUCUUCAGGCACUGUGUAAAAUUACUGACAUAAAAUGAUUAAAUUAUAAACUUGUGUUAAAAUGAAAGAAAUCCUUCCUCUUCUGCUAUAAGAAACCACUUUCAAACUCUUUUUACAUAGCCAAUUACUCUUUGAGAGUCUGGUAUUAUGACACGUUCCGUAAAACUGGUAUUUUGAGAGUGCUCCACAGUGAGCACUAGACAUUGGUUUUGAUAGACAUGAAAGUCCAGCUCAAGAUCUAAACGUUCAGUGCCAAUGCAACCCGGCGUCUACUGUCACACACGUAUAUACCAUAAACUGGUUUCUGUGCAUCUACAUUACAGAGCUUGUAGACAAGCUUUUCCAAAUCAGAUGUUAACCAAAAUAAAAAUGCAAAUUCCUAACAUUCCAUUGCUUCUAGCUGGUUUUGUUAACGAAUGAGUAAAGAAAAUGAUUUGUAUUCCUUUGUUAUACAUCAGUUAGUUAAAAUAUACAUUUAAAAUUCUAUAGCCAACAAAAUUUUAUAUCUUGGCUGAGAACUGGAUCUGUGUUCAGACACAAAUGAAUAAAUCCCUAUUUGCUCGAAUGUCUGGUAGCCAUUCUUUACCCUUCUCUCCUUAUCCAAUCUGCCAUCAAUUGUUAUUGUUACUAUUAAAAUAUUUAUCACACUG
Fukomys damarensis (Damara mole-rat) is the source of this 1801-nucleotide long non-coding RNA. RefSeq lists it as uncharacterized. The record is from RefSeq and is a predicted model, not a curated record. Lineage: Eukaryota; Metazoa; Chordata; Mammalia; Rodentia; Bathyergidae. The transcript is spliced from 6 exons.